Molecule: ribosomal RNA, 440 nt
Filed under: uncultured bacterium
Lineage: Bacteria
Description: partial 16S ribosomal RNA
Rfam family: Bacterial small subunit ribosomal RNA
Source: RNAcentral
CCUACGGGAGACAGCAGUGGGGAAUAUUGCACAAUGGGGGACACCCUGAUGCAGCGACGCCGCGUGAGUGAAGAAGUAUCUCGGUAUGUAAAGCUCUAUUAGUAGGGAAGAAAAUGACGGUACCUGAUUAAGAAGCUUUGGCCAAAUCCGAGCCAGCAGACGAGGGAAUACGGAGGGGGCAGGGGUUAUCCGGAUGAACUGGGUGUAAAGGUGGCGUAGAGGGUAGAACAAGUCUGAAGUGAAAGUCCGGGGCUUAACCCGGGAACUGCUUUGGAAACUGUGCGACUAGAGUGCAGAAGAGGUAAGUGGAAUUCGUGGUGUAGCGGUGAAAUGCGGAGAUAUUAGGAAGAACACCAGUGGCGAAGGCGGCUUACUGGACUGUAACUGACGUUGAGGCUCGAAAGCGUGGGGAGCAAACAGGAUUAGAUACCCCUGUAGUC